Molecule: ribosomal RNA, 455 nt
Filed under: Neisseria flavescens
Lineage: Bacteria; Pseudomonadati; Pseudomonadota; Betaproteobacteria; Neisseriales; Neisseriaceae
Description: bacterial SSU rRNA
Rfam family: Bacterial small subunit ribosomal RNA
Source: RNAcentral
AUUGAACGCUGGCGGCAUGCUUUACACAUGCAAGUCGGACGGCAGCACAGAGAAGCUUGCUUCUUGGGUGGCGAGUGGCGAACGGGUGAGUAAUAUAUCGGAACGUACCGAGUAAUGGGGGAUAACUAAUCGAAAGAUUAGCUAAUACCGCAUAUUCUCUGAGGAGGAAAGCAGGGGACCUUCGGGCCUUGCGUUAUUCGAGCGGCCGAUAUCUGAUUAGCUAGUUGGUGGGGUAAAGGCCUACCAAGGCGACGAUCAGUAGCGGGUCUGAGAGGAGAUCCGCCACACUGGGACUGAGACACGGCCCAGACUCCUACGGGAGGCAGCAGUGGGGAAUUUUGGACAAUGGGCGCAAGCCUGAUCCAGCCAUGCCGCGUGUCUGAAGAAGGCCUUCGGGUUGUAAAGGACUUUUGUCAGGGAAGAAAAGGCUGUUGCUAAUACCGACAGCUGAUGAC